Molecule: long non-coding RNA, 897 nt
Organism: Herpailurus yagouaroundi (jaguarundi)
Lineage: Eukaryota; Metazoa; Chordata; Mammalia; Carnivora; Felidae
Exons: 3
Source: RefSeq, a predicted model, not a curated record
UCAUUAUGGUCACAGAUUUGUCAGGUAGGGCAGACUUGGAGGAAGUUGGUCAGGAGAGGGAAGAGAAUGAAAGAGCAGCUGGAGAAACAGAAGGAUGACACAGGUGACACAAGCAGGGGAGGAUGGCCAGUCCCCACGGAUACCUUGACUCCUUAGCUUGCUGAGACAGUUGCAGUGCAAUCUGAGAGAACCGUUAUCCAACCAUCUACCAACCCCCAGGAAGUGCAACAAACUCAAAAUCUGCUCACAGGGAAAACAGCAGAAGGAAAAUAUAGGAAGAGUUUACAUACAGAUAAAUGGGGAACAUAUUCUGUAAAACAGAUCUUUGGAUGGGAAGAUCUGUAUCAGGUGAUGGGGAGUUAAAAGAGCAAAAAGGAUGAAGAGGGGACUGAGAGAAGAGAAACAAAAUAGAAAAAGGAAAAGAGGAUGGAGAAUGAAGAAGAAAAGGCAAGGAACAUGGGAAGCCUGGCAGGGAAUUCUGAUUAUCAACAGUACACCCCAAAGUAGGAUUCCUAGUGAAAAAUCAGUGAGUGUAUUAUUACCUGCAAUCCAAAGCCAUGUCAUUGUAUGUGUAUAGAAUGUGAUAUCUAGGUGCAACCGUUCUGUAUCUUCUGGAUAUAUGUAAAACUUAAUAAUGGAAAAAUUGGAAGUUCCUCUUUGAUUCUGCCAAGAAAGUCCAAAGAGAUCUGGAAUAAGAGAACUGUAUCAACGAGGAAGAAUUUGAGAAAAGUUGGAGAAAGAGAAAAUGUUAAGUCUCUAGUAGCUGUUAAGUACCAGGAUUGAAAAGCUACACUGGAGAACACCUGACUGGCUUAGUGGGUAGGGUAUGUGUCUCUUGUUCUCAGGGUCAUCAGUUCAGGCUUCAUGUUGGGUGUAGAAUUUACUUAAAAAAAAAAA